RNAcentral lists this ribosomal RNA (495 nucleotides) under uncultured bacterium. RNAcentral's name for it is "partial 16S ribosomal RNA". It matches the Rfam family "Bacterial small subunit ribosomal RNA", at positions 28 to 507 of the family's 1533-position model. The record is from RNAcentral.
GACGAACGCUGGCGGCGUGCCUAAUACAUGCAAGUAGAACGCUGAAGGAGGAGCUUGCUUCUCUGGAUGAGUUGCGAACGGGUGAGUAACGCGUAGGUAACCUGCCUGGUAGCGGGGGAUAACUAUUGGAAACGAUAGCUAAUACCGCAUAAGAGUAGAUGUUGCAUGACAUUUGCUUAAAAGGUGCAAUUGCAUCACUACCAGAUGGACCUGCGUUGUAUUAGCUAGUUGGUGGGGUAACGGCUUACCAAGGCGACGAUACAUAGCCGACCUGAGAGGGUGAUCGGCCACACUGGGACUGAGACACGGCCCAGACUCCUACGGGAGGCAGCAGUAGGGAAUCUUCGGCAAUAGACGGAAGUCUGACCGAGCAACGCCGCGUGAGUGAAGAAGGUUUUCGGAUCGUAAAGCUCUGUUGUAAGAGAAGAACGAGUGUGAGAGUGGAAAGUCCACACUGUGACGGUAUCUUACCAGAAAGGGACGGCUAACUACGUG